Molecule: ribosomal RNA, 440 nt
Filed under: uncultured bacterium
Lineage: Bacteria
Description: partial 16S ribosomal RNA
Rfam family: Bacterial small subunit ribosomal RNA
Source: RNAcentral
CCUACGGGUGGCUGCAGUGGGGGAUAUUGCACAAUGGGGGAAACCCUGAUGCAGCGACGCCGCGUGGGUGAAGAAGCGCCUCGGCGCGUAAAGCCCUGUCAGCAGGGGAGAAAAUGACGGUACCUGAAGAAGAAGCCCCGGCUAACUACGUGCCAGCAGCCGCGGUAAUACGGAGGGGGCAAGCGUUAUCCGGAUUUACUGGGCGUAAAGGGGGCGCAGACGGGGAUGCAAGCCAGGAGUGAAAGCCCGGGGCCCAACCCCGGGACUGCUCUUGGAACUGCGUGGCUAGAGUGCAGGAGGGGCAGGCGGAAUUCCUGGUGUAGCGGUGAAAUGCGUAGAUAUCAGGCGGAACUCCGGUGGCGAAGGCAGCCUGCUGGACUGCAACUGACGUUGAGGCCCGAAAGCGUGGGGAGCGAACAGGAUUAGAUACCCGUGUAGUC